RNAcentral lists this long non-coding RNA (3277 nucleotides) under Sus scrofa (pig). RNAcentral's name for it is "lncRNA (ENSSSCG00000060075.1, ENSSSCG00160042756.1)". Lineage: Eukaryota; Metazoa; Chordata; Mammalia; Artiodactyla; Suidae. The record is from RNAcentral.
CUUUUUAGGGCCGCACCUGUGGCAUAUGGAGGUUCCCAGGCUAGGGGUCAAAUCGGAUCUACAGGCUGCCGGCCUACACCACAGCCACAGCAACACCAGAUCUGAGUUGAGUCUGAGACCCACACCGCAGCUCACGGCAACGCUGGAUCCUUAACCACUGAUGGAGGCCAGGGAUGGAACCUGCAUGCUCAUGGAUAAUCGUCGGGUUCCUUGUGACUGCGCCACAGCGGGAACUCCAGCCAUGUACAUUAAAAAUGAACAGACGAGCAAAACCUCAAACUCGUGGAGUCAAGGGCCUUCCUGACCUUCAGUUGAAUGUGCGCCUCCUUGUCACGGGGCUGCACAGCUCCCCUGUCCUGUGCGGACAGUCUUGGAGAUGGUGAUGGUUCAGUCACUGUGAGAGUGAUUGUGGUGAUUUACGGGGAGGAUCAAGAACCGCCUUCAGAGGGACAGCACCUGCGUCACUGUGGCCACAUUGAGCUUUCUGAGUCAGUUGCACUGCCGGGUAAAAGGGACCAGUUACACUGAAGGGAGUUGAAGGCCUCACCUACCGCUCAUAAUUUGUGUGUCCAUAAAAGAAAGUGAUGCGAGGUCACCAAGAAGGAUCCGUAAAGAGUGAAGUGAGAGCACUUUCUCUGCCGGCAAAGGUGACGGGCUUAGAGCUGCGGGGAUGGCAUUUUCUAAACUUCGAGUUGGGACAUGUGCUCUGAUAUGUCUGAGUGCGGUUUCAGAGGCACUAGGCAGGCAUCUUUAAAGGGGGCUUUGGGAAGGGUAAAGCACGUGGCUGCCACCGGGGGAGUUAUAUGUGGGGGGCGGGCACGGAGAGAAUAUUUGCCCCAGCAAGCAGCGCCACCUUCAUUCCCACGGUCAGACGUUCAGCACACACCGCCCUCUGUCCAUCGCUGCCUCAAACUCACACGCCCUCAUUUACUGCAGUUACCAAUGCCUCUGCUCGGAGCCUCCCCAGGUGGCAUUUUCCUUUAAUCACGCCUUGUGUCUUUGACUCUGUGCUGCGCUGUCAUGUAGUGCUGGGUAUACACAGGCCUCUGUAAUCUUUGGUGUGAACUGCGGUGGUAGAGGUUUGCCCAGGAUUCUAGGAGAGCCCGGGAAGGCGACGCUGCCCAGGCCGGAAGGCUUCGGGCAGGAGUCAAGGACAACCGUUGUCUUUGUCUCCCUGGAAUCCCUUCUCCCUCUCUGCAGGCAACGGGCCUCUUCCUAGGGAAGACCCAGUCCUCUGUGAGUGAGUGAGCCUGACUCAGCAGCCCCUGGCCUGGGACCUGGACAAAUAACUGUCUCCCCUGGGAGUUUUACGACAUAGCCAUUGGCAGAGACUCAUUUUGUUAGGGCUGCUAAUCUGAAGGGGUAUAAACUGGAGGUGGCCACUGGUCAUCUUUCCAGUCAUUUGGAGGAAGUCAGACUGGACGGAACAUAUAUUACCACAGCUGCAGAGACACUUCCCCCGUCAAUCUAAGGUAAUUGAAACUUGGCUGCCAAGAUCUACAUGAAAAUCAGAAAAUUCGCCUUCCACCUGUAGACUCCUGCUAUCCUAUUACAGGGAUGCCACUGCCUCGAACAGCUGGUGGACCUUCCUAAGAAUGAAACCAAAGAACAGAGGAAAGGCGGCCCAAGAGAACAAGGAAAAAAACAAAGCCUUAAUAGUAGCAUUCAAGCUCCUGGAUCCAACCAUUCCUGAGGCUAGGUGUUACUCCUAUACUUGUAUAAUCCAGUAAGUCCCCGCCCCACUUUUUUCUUAAGUUAGAUUUUUGUUGUCUGCAAGCACAAAGGGUUUUCUGGAGUAUAUAAUGCUUUAGCUGAGUCUCAGUGGGUGAGUGGGAAUUUGUCAGGUGAGGUAAGGAUGGCAGCUGAGGUGGGUCAGAUUUUCCAGGCAGUUAGGUCAUGUAAACAAAGGCUUGGGGAGAAAUUUUCUAAGGAAAAUAUCUAUACAAAAUAAUACAAUGGGCAUUGCCAUUGGUCCAGGCUCUUCACUUGGAAAAAAUUCUGCCUCAGAGUGGCCAAAUCAAUUUGGAAGGAGUACCCACAAGAGCAUGGCCCUCUGAGUGAAGUGCACACAGCAGUAAUGAGUUGGGAAAAUACUGGCUCAUAAGACUCAACAGCUUCUGGGAUGAAAUUAUAACCGCGGUAGCUAGAAGAAGUGACAGAAAUAUUACCUUUACUUUAAUAAGAAGUUCAAUUUAAUCUGUUAGGACACACGCAGAAACGUUCGUGGAAAUCAGUCACAUUCAUUUGAUGCUCUUGUUUAUUUAGAAUGGCUGAAAAGUAAGGUGUUUUUGUAUAAUUGCUUCUGAGUAAAGGAAUUGUUUUUACCCGUGCUCUGCCAAUUUAUAAAAACCAUACACUAAAUUUAAUACAGCUGAUGAUGAAAGUGAAUCCUCUGCAUGGCUGGGGCAGUGCUCGGGAAGCCAAAAGCCUUUUGAGCACAUCGUUCUCCUUGCCUUAAACGCGUCCUGUCUCCUUUUCGCCUUCACCUUCUAGACUUACCUCUCCUUGAAUGUCCGUUUCAAAUCCUGCUCCUCCAAGUGUGUGCUUCUGAAUACUCGAGCAGAAUCAAGCCCAUGCCUCAGUCUGAGUCCAUGCCUCAGUUUACCACCAAGAUGAGACACUCCUUAUUGUCUCUUUAUGCAGUGAACUUGAAAGACAACUUAACUUUGGGUUAGAGGCCUGUUUGGAUAGAGCGCCUGGGGCAAAGGGGCCUUAAUACCUGAUCUUUUGGCUACACAGUAGAUUCUGCAUUGUGGGAGUUCCACCACUCUAGGCCUGCCCUUCUACAAGGUGUCUCCAGGGAUUGUAGUUUCAUGGGAUACUGAUAAGUAUUAUGAAAAAAUGAAUCCAUGAUAAAACAUGUUUAGGUAUUUCAUGUAUUAGAUGAAAUACUUUAACUCCAACAGGUCUCUAAAGUGAAGGACUCAGAGACUUCACUGCGCUUCUGUUACUGCUCAGAAGGAGCAUGUAGUAUAUUUGAUGCUUGAACAACAUGGAUUUGAACCGUGCAGGUGCCCUUAAACCUAGUUUUUUUUUCAGCAGAUAGUUCCCGUCGUGGCUCAGUGGUUAACGAAUCUGACUAGGAACGAUGAGGUUGUGGGUUUGAUCCCUGGCCUCGCUCAGUGGGAUAAGGAUCCGGCGUUGCCGUGAGCUGUGGUGUAGGUUGCAGAUGCGGCUUGGAUCCUGCGUUGCUGUGGUGUAGGCUGGCAGCUACAUCUCCAAUUCAACCCCUAGCCUGGGACCCUCCAUACGCCACGGGGGCGGCCCUAGAAAAGGC